RNAcentral lists this long non-coding RNA (1292 nucleotides) under Mytilus galloprovincialis (Mediterranean mussel). The record is from RNAcentral. Lineage: Eukaryota; Metazoa; Mollusca; Bivalvia; Mytilida; Mytilidae.
UGUCCAUCAGGGGAGAUAACUACCACAUUGUUACGAGAAUUGUAUCCCACCACGUACACAUUGCCAUCAUUAUCUACAUCAAUACCACAAGGACUCUUUAGAACGCUUUCGUUAUGGAAUGUCCAUUGUAGUUUACCAUGUAGGUUAUAACAUGUCACAGUGUGUUUUGAUUGUUUGUAUGAUAUAUAUUGUCCCUAAAAGUUGCAGUGUAGCAACCACUGGUCAUUGCUUCUCGGACUAAGUCACAUAUAGACUCAUCGUUUAAAUCGAUCAUUCGUAUACCUUUGUCUCUCCCUGAAUAAAUCAAUCGAUUAUCUUUUAGUGAUAUGCCAUAAAUGUCAGAAUCCAACGCAAUUGAUUUCAUCAUUUGUUUUGUCUCCAGGUUUAUUAUGGUAAUGGUACGUGGACUAUAAGAUGAUACAGCCAAUGUAUUGUCUUCUCUAAUGUAUACUAUAUCAAACGGCUUACAUGGCAUCUUGAUCUCAAAGUCUGGUGAUCCUUUAUCACUGAAAACUUUUAAUUGUUUGGCAAAGUAGUAAGUAAAUACCAAUCUAUCAUCUGGAAGUAUGCAACAUCCGUGAACGUAGUUUCCUUGAGUGUCGAUGGACUUGUGUAAUGUUAUCUUUAUAUUUUCUAUAGAUUUUGUUGGAGCGAUUGGAAUCAUCAAUUGGGCUUGUCUGGCCUUCUUCUUGAUCAGAACUAUGUCGCAUGGAUUUGAUUUAAUACGCACUUCCCCAAAACUUCUGAUAUCGGAUAUGAUAUUCUGGAUAGAGGUGUUGAUCUGAUAUGAAAGAGUAUGCUGUUCCUUGCCUUCUACAAGAGCCUGCAAUUUUUUUUCUUUGCUAUAAACGUCCUUUUCUAUUUGCUUAAUUGAGAGAAACAUUUGAAGAUCUGUUGCGUUUUUCUUGAUGUUCAAUAGGCUAUUUUGGCAUUCUCCUAUUUCUUUUUCUUUCUUCUCUAGCGAGGCCAUUAACUGACAAAUUUUAGAGUUUUCUUUUUCUUCGAGCUCGUUGAGUUGUUUCAUUAAAUCUUCUUGUAGUUUGUCGAGGUGGUUAUUGAUCUUCAUUCUAGUUUUCUUUAGAUCUUUUUCGAUUUCCUUUCUCUUUUCUUUCAAAGUCAUCUGAUUGCUCUGUUGAUGCUGACGAAUUUUCUUUAGAUUUUCUGCUACUUCAAUUAAUGUUUCCUCUAUCUCGCUCAGGGCAUAGGAGGUUUUGGCGGUAGAAAUGAUAUCAUCUAAUUCGACAAUGUCCCGGCAGUCUUUGUGGCCUUCCACGAUACAUGUGCUGCAGCAG